UCAUGAUGAAAAAUUUGACGGUCGAGGUGCUUCGAUUUUUUAUUGUGUGUAUGCAUCUUCACAGUGGCAAGCCUAUGGCAAGCGUCUCUUUGGAAGCGAUUCAGUUUUGCCGAUAUAAUCGUCCGUGGGUGUCUCUCUGCCUUAAUUUAAUUUGCUGCCUUAAUUGCGUCUCAGCAGACUGGACAGGCACCUUUGAAAAAGUGCAUAAGUAUGGUGAUACCGAUACAAACCAAUUGAUGAACGAGCAAUGACAGCGAAAACGUUUCCAAUGCACUGCUUAAAUUAUCAUCUUGACUUGAUAACUAUCGCGCAGUCUACUAUAAAAAAAAGUGUCGUAUAAGUGUGAUGUAAAAAUAUUAAUAAUAAUCGUAUACAUUGAUGAGUUCAGUACAUCGAAAAAAUGUCUGGAGUUGUCAAUCACUAAUAAGACGAAAGGCAUUUUACUACGCACGCAAAUAGUAUAAUUGAUCAUCUGUAAAAAAGUUUAUUUGAACUGACGUCAUUGGAGCUACCUUAGCGGCAGAUGAUUGUUCGUGCAGGGUACAUGUUAAUGUUAUUUGGUGAGAGAGCCUUGCUGGUAGCCCUACUUUAGGACUAGUGGAAAAAGAACCUUAUUCGAUCGCGUUUUGAUAAUCGGGUAAUUCAAAGAGCGUAUGUUCCCGGGGACACUGUCAUCACUUCCGACAGCAAAAGUGUCUCUUCGACUUCUGCUACUGCCGGUGAUGCUACUAGGGAGAAGGCCGACGACAACGAGAAGAAGGGUGUGGAUGAAAGAGGUUUCGGACAUCGUCUGGGCUUCGGCUGUCCCGGCUAUGGCGGCAGCUUUGGGUCUCAACAAGGAUUCAAGCAAGCCUUUGAAGCGUCAGGUUAGUUUCAAAACCAGGGAGCGUUCGGUUACAACCAGGGUUCGUCGCAAAGUAACGUUUACGGUCACCGCGAACGCUACGGCGAACCGACGCAAUUCGGUUUAGCUCAAAGCUCGGAUCAGUCCUCAUCAACCGGUCAGAAUGCUUAUGCCAGUCACUUUGACAAGGGACAAUUCGCGCAGGAAAGUAACCAGGGUAGCGGAUACGGCUUUGUUGGCUAAGUUAAAAUCUGUGAUUGAAUAUGACAAUACAUAUAUAUUGAAU
Varroa destructor (honeybee mite) is the source of this 1130-nucleotide long non-coding RNA. The record is from RefSeq and is a predicted model, not a curated record. NCBI's taxonomy places the organism in Eukaryota, Metazoa, Arthropoda, Arachnida, Mesostigmata, Varroidae.